UACGUAGGUGGCAAGCGUUGUCCGGAAUUAUUGGGCGUAAAGCGCGCGCAGGCGGUCCUUUAAGUCUGAUGUGAAAGCCCACGGCUCAACCGUGGAGGGUCAUUGGAAACUGGGGGACUUGAGUACAGAAGAGAAGAGUGGAAUUCCACGUGUAGCGGUGAAAUGCGUAGAGAUGUGGAGGAACACCAGUGGCGAAGGCGACUCUUUGGGCUGUAACUGACGCUGAGGCGCGAAAGCGUGGGUAGCAAACAGG
This 253-nucleotide ribosomal RNA is filed under the name uncultured bacterium. Its description in RNAcentral is "partial 16S ribosomal RNA". It matches the Rfam family "Bacterial small subunit ribosomal RNA", at positions 524 to 776 of the family's 1533-position model. The record is from RNAcentral.